AUUGAACGCUGGCGGCAGGCCUAACACAUGCAAGUCGAGCGGAUGAAGGGAGCUUGCUCCUGGAUUCAGCGGCGGACGGGUGAGUAAUGCCUAGGAAUCUGCCUGGUAGUGGGGGAUAACGUCCGGAAACGGGCGCUAAUACCGCAUACGUCCUGAGGGAGAAAGUGGGGGAUCUUCGGACCUCACGCUAUCAGAUGAGCCUAGGUCGGAUUAGCUAGUUGGUGGGGUAAAGGCCUACCAAGGCGACGAUCCGUAACUGGUCUGAGAGGAUGAUCAGUCACACUGGAACUGAGACACGGUCCAGACUCCUACGGGAGGCAGCAGUGGAGAAUAUUGGACAAUGGGCGAAAGCCUGAUCCAGCCAUGCCGCGUGUGUGAAGAAGGUUUUCGGAUUGUAAAGCACUUUAAGUUGGGAGGAAGGGCAGUAAGUUAAUACCUUGCUGUUUUGACGUUACCAACAGAAUAAGCACCGGCUAACUUCGUG
Molecule: ribosomal RNA, 484 nt
Filed under: uncultured bacterium
Lineage: Bacteria
Description: partial 16S ribosomal RNA
Rfam family: Bacterial small subunit ribosomal RNA
Source: RNAcentral